Molecule: ribosomal RNA, 492 nt
Filed under: uncultured bacterium
Lineage: Bacteria
Description: partial 16S ribosomal RNA
Rfam family: Bacterial small subunit ribosomal RNA
Source: RNAcentral
AGUGAACGCUGGCGGUAGGCCUAACACAUGCAAGUCGAACGGCAGCACAGUAAGAGCUUGCUCUUACGGGUGGCGAGUGGCGGACGGGUGAGGAAUACAUCGGAAUCUACUUUUUCGUGGGGGAUAACGUAGGGAAACUUACGCUAAUACCGCAUACGACCUACGGGUGAAAGCAGGGGAUCUUCGGACCUUGCGCGAUUGAAUGAGCCGAUGUCGGAUUAGCUAGUUGGCGGGGUAAAGGCCCACCAAGGCGACGAUCCGUAGCUGGUCUGAGAGGAUGAUCAGCCACACUGGAACUGAGACACGGUCCAGGCGCCUACGGGAGGCACCAGUGGGGAAUAGUGGACAAUGGUCGCAAGCCUGAUCCAGCCAUCCCGCGUGGGUGCAGAAGGCCUUCGGGUUGUAAAGCCGUUUUGUUGGGAAAGAAAAGCAGCAGGCUAAUACCCCGCUGUUCUGACGGUACCCAAAGAAUAAGCACCGGCUAACUUCGUG